AUUUCUAAAUCGCUUAAACCAUAUGGUGCGGGGGACCCGUUAUUGGGAUUGUUUACAAUCCAAGGGGUGAAUCCUUUUAAAAAGGUAGGGCUACUCUUAGGUCCGAAUCCGACAGCUAACCUCGUAAGCGUUAUAUGAGAAGGAAG
Molecule: small RNA, 146 nt
Filed under: Bacillus sp. (in: firmicutes)
Lineage: Bacteria; Bacillati; Bacillota; Bacilli; Caryophanales; Bacillaceae
Description: Bacillus sp. c-di-AMP sequence
Rfam family: c-di-AMP riboswitch aptamer (ydaO/yuaA leader)
About the family: This family represents a conserved RNA structure found upstream of the ydaO and yuaA genes in Bacillus subtilis and related genes in other bacteria. The ydaO/yuaA element is thought to act as a genetic "off" switch for the ydaO and yuaA genes in its native state.
Source: RNAcentral